RNAcentral lists this unclassified non-coding RNA (329 nucleotides) under soil metagenome. RNAcentral describes it as "partial contains 5.8S ribosomal RNA, internal transcribed spacer 2, and large subunit ribosomal RNA". The stretch from base 1 to 120 matches the Rfam family "5.8S ribosomal RNA", at positions 35 to 154 of the family's 154-position model. The record is from RNAcentral.
GAUGAAGAACGUAGCGAAAUGCGAUAAGUAAUGUGAAUUGCAGAAUUCCGUGAAUCAUCGAAUCUUUGAACGCACAUUGCGCCCCUUGGUAUUCCGGGGGGCAUGCCUGUUCGAGCGUCAUUACAACCCUCAAGCUCUGCUUGGUCUUGGGCGUCACCGGUCCCCGGUGUGCCUUAAAAUCAGUGGCGGCGCCAUCUGGCUCUAAGCGUAGUACAUACUCUCGCUACAGACGUCCGGUGGAUGCUGGCCAGCAACCCCCAAUUUAUCAAGGUUGACCUCGGAUCAGGUAGGGAUACCCGCUGAACUUAAGCAUAUCAAUAAGCGGAGGA